GACGAACGCUGGCGGCGUGCCUAAUACAUGCAAGUCGAGCGGACAGACGGGAGCUUGCUCCCUGAUGUUAGCGGCGGACGGGUGAGUAACACGUGGGUAACCUGCCUGUAAGACUGGGAUAACUCCGGGAAACCGGGGCUAAUACCGGAUGGUUGUCUGAACCGCAUGGUUCAGACAUAAAAGGUGGCUUCGGCUACCACUUACAGAUGGACCCGCGGCGCAUUAGCUAGUUGGUGAGGUAACGGCUCACCAAGGCAACGAUGCGUAGCCGACCUGAGAGGGUGAGCGGCCACACUGGGACUGAGACACGGCCCAGACUCCUACGGGAGGCAGCAGUAGGGAAUCGUACGCAAUGGACGAAAGUCUGACGGAGCAACGCCGCGUGAGUGAUGAAGGUUUUCGGAUCGUAAAGCUCGGUUGUUAGGGAAGAACAAGUGCCGUUCAAAUAGGGCGGCACCUUGACGGUACCUAACCAGAAAGCCACGGCUAACUACGUG
This 497-nucleotide ribosomal RNA is filed under the name uncultured bacterium. Its description in RNAcentral is "partial 16S ribosomal RNA". It matches the Rfam family "Bacterial small subunit ribosomal RNA", at positions 28 to 507 of the family's 1533-position model. The record is from RNAcentral.